CCUACGGGCGGCAGCAGUGAGGAAUAUUGGUCAAUGGGCGCGAGCCUGAACCAGCCAAGUAGCGUGAAGGAUGACUGCCCUACGGGUUGUAAACUUCUUUUAUAAGGGAAUAAAGUGAGGCACGUGUGCUUUUUUGUAUGUACUUUAUGAAUAAGGAUCGGCUAACUCCGUGCCAGCAGCCGCGGUAAUACGGAGGAUCCGAGCGUUAUCCGGAUUUAUUGGGUUUAAAGGGAGCGUAGAUGGGUUGUUAAGUCAGUUGUGACAGUCUGCGGCUCAACCGUAAAAUUGCAAUUGAUACUGGCAGACUUGAGUACAGUUGAGGUAUGCGGAAUUCGUGGUGUAGCGGUGAAAUGCUUAGAUAUCACGAAGAACUCCGAUUGCGAAGGCAGCCUACGAAACUGCUACUGACACUGAUGCUCGAAAGUGUGGGUAUCAAACAGGAUUAGAUACCCUGGUAGUC
This 460-nucleotide ribosomal RNA is filed under the name uncultured bacterium. RNAcentral describes it as "partial 16S ribosomal RNA". It matches the Rfam family "Bacterial small subunit ribosomal RNA", at positions 338 to 795 of the family's 1533-position model. The record is from RNAcentral.